GAGGCUGCCUGAAAGCAAUACAAGAUGGCCAGUGUAUCUGGCAAACUAGAAACUUCCUGAUGUAUGUGUGAACAUGACCAAAUACUAUCUAAUGUGCCAAACUGCUCUGAAAGCACAUUUGAAUCAGAAUUAAGUUCAUGCAUCUGGGCCAUCCUGCAGCUGCUUCUACAGGAACGUGUUUGGGUCUAUAGUAGCCUUACUUUCAAGCUUGACCUGUCUUCUGUUGCUUGUAUCUCUUUUGGAGAACUAGAAGACCUUCAAAAGAAACAGCUGUGGUUCUUAUAGUCAUCAGUAGUACUUCCAGCUUGUUUCAGAGAUGCAGCUUGCCCAUUCUCUUUCCGUGCUGCAAUUUGAAAGGUUGAAUGGACUCAAGACAUGCCAAAAUGAUGCACAUUUGGUAUCACUAAAAUUUUCAGCACUUACUGCUUGUCACCAUAAGCAGAGUUGUAACCACACAGGUGCUGCAUCAGAAGAGAGAAAAGCUGGAGCCAAUACUAGUGGAAUCAUUUGACCUGACCUCAAUGGCAAGGGGCAGCCCCAUGAUGUGAAGGCUGGAAGUUCCUGUGUCCAAGGGCAAAAGCUUUGGAAAACUCAGAGGGUAAAGUAGCCAUGCGUUUCUCGAGAUCUACAUUCACUUCUACUUUUAGUGGCUUGGACCAAACCUUAAUGUAAGCAACUGCUUUGGCAUGUUGCACUAAAAUUUUAUCUGGAUGGUGUCGCAAUGUCCUUUGAGCUGUGGGAGAAGACAGUGCUUGAAAUAUGCAUGUUUGAGCAAGUUCAACGCAGCUUGCUUUUGCUGGAGCCUGACUUUCUUUCCUGGACAAAGCCAGAGAUUUGUGGAGUCUAAUAAUGUGUCAGCAAACCAACUUGGCAUAUAGAAAUGAGAAGGGCGAGUCCCUGUUCCAGUUGCAUAAAAAUGUCAGUGUGUGUGGGGAGUAGAUGAAGCAAAUUAUAUUUCUUCCAUCUUGUUAAUGACUGUUGGAUGGACAAUGCAGAAGGAUCCCUUUUGCAGGACAAAAAGGCUACAAAAAUAAUAGAAAUGAACGUCUGCAGCUGAAGAGUUUGGCUGGGACUUGAAAAGUUUGCUUUGGGUACGAGCCAGGUCCUGCUGAGGUCUGCAGGAAUUUUGCUCUUGGCCUCAGUGGGACCAAGCUUUCACCCUUGGAGGCCAUGUCCUGAGGAAGAAUUUAGUCUGAAAUAGUUUUCAAAACUUGUAUUGUUUGACUCACAACCAAGCAUUUUGUUGAGACCGAGUGGCUUUGUAUUUCUGAUUGACUCAUGUUGCUCAUCUUAGCAUCCUGCAGCAGUGAUCUCUCAAGGAAAUCCAAGUGUGAGAGAGGAUUGCAUGUAAGGUUCCUAAACCAACAGCUUCUUGCAGGUCUUCCCAGGUGUCUGCUUAAGCUGUAUAUUUUUGGGAGGAGAUGUGCCUUGGAGCCCCAGCACAUCAGCACACUGCACUGAAGCUAUGGCUGUGACCUGUGGCAUGACUGGGAUAUGCCCAUCCAGACCCUGGUCAUCUUUGAUAGACCCAUCCCUCCAUUCUGCAUAUGAUUCUGUGAUUCAUGGUGAAACAAAUAUUUGAAGGAAGAACAGAGAACUAGUAAAGUGUUUUGAUUUAUACCUCACAUGUAUGCCCUUCCUUAUUACCCCCUUGGUCAUUUUUCCUGUAGACCUCAGAGACCACAUUGAAAAUAACCACUAUCAAAGUGAGGUUUGUGCCAUUCUUCUUCUUCUUCUGAUUAGAGCUAGGAUAACACAUUCAAAUAAUAAGUCUGAAGCUGGGCAUGGGUGGGACAACACUACUGUACUCUUAACACUGCAUGUUCUAGGCAGAUUUAACAUGCAGGUCUUGCAUUGUUGGACUGCACAAGUGUAGUAAUGUUGGAUUUUACUGCUCUAUAUCAACUUGUGAUGAAACGUGGUGACAUCAGCAGAGACAAAGGUCCAUUUCGUAUAAAGCUUGCAAAAACACCAAGUGCUUGUUUGGUCAUUCAGAACACAGAGCUGGGGAAAACAACUUGCUCAGUUCACAGCCCUGAAACCUCUGGAGAUGCGUGGCUGGGUUAUUUCCUUGAUAUUCUGUGAUAUUAUGACCUGUUCUAAUAGCACAGGAUCAUAGAACUGUAGGAGUUGGAAGGGAGGAUUAUUGAGUUCCAGCCCCUGCUAAAGCAGAUUCCAUACAGGAGGUUGCACAGAACAGCAUCCAGACCCAAAGAAGGAGACUCCACAACCUCUGUGAUCAGCCUGUCACAUUUAAGCAGUUUAUAGUUAUCAAGAUUUAAGAUUUUCCUCCCGAAGUCAAUUGGUUUCAUAGUAGACCCCAACAAAUCAGUAUUUUUGUUUUGCUGAAAUGGAGUGUGAUAUCAUUUUAAUGGCUCCUUUCUGAAAACCUUGAAAGCUGCUUAAGAAACAGAUUCACAGUGUAUGGGCUCGAAAACUAUCCCGUUCUGGUACACUUGAAGUUGUCGAGCACAGAGUGCAUAAUUUAGAAUUGAAAAGAAAAAGAUGUAUCUGUGAAUUAAGGACUGCAAUACAGGAGCUAUCAACCACCAAGAGGCUCUUUUAACCUCAGCAGAGCUGUGCUCUUUAAUGUGUUUUUGUGGGGAAGAAGAAUAAAAAGGAAAUCUGAGAAAACUGAUCUUUAUUUUUAGAAAAAUAAUUUCUUUUUGCUAAGGAGGACUUUUUAUUUUCUGUGCUCUAAAUAAAGCAGUGAUAUGGUCCUGUUGUGCCUCAGGCUAUCCGCUUAAAAGAAAAGGCUCCAAAGAUGGACCAUCUGGAAGCCUGUGCAAGAGCACGCCAGUGCUGUUUGAUGUGGAAGAGCAUCCUUUGGAUGUAUUUUUGAACACUGCUCAAUCCGCUGAAGUUUUUUUUUGUGUGUGUUGAGCUGAUGGGAACAUCUCAGAGGAUUUUGCUUCAUGUGUUAAUGCUGCUUGCUUCUUUUUUCAUUAAAUGAAAGCUGGGAAGCAGUGUUUCUCUCUAGAAGCACUUUCGAGAUCUGCAGGUGAUCACAACGCAAAGGGAGUCAGUUGCACAUUCUUGGCCAGAUCUGCUCUUUCCAGGGCACAACAAGAACUUCCUCCUCUUCCCAUUUUUUUCUGGGAUGCCUGGGAUCUCCUUGGUUCCUGCAAGGCCAAAAAAGUUCUCUGUUUUGUUGUUGUGGUGGUGUUUUUUUGUUCAGGACUUUGCCUGAUGUACUUUGUUUCAGUGCUGCAUCUGAGAUGAGGAGAAAUUCACCCCUGGUUCUGGGAUAAGGGGUUCACCCCCACCCCAUGCAGUGUUUCUCUGAGCUUAUGUUCUCAGAUGUUCAAGUCCCAUCCCUGCACAUACCGGUGCCCUUUUGGCUCAACCUGCACAUCUGACAGCCUAUGCACUUUGCCCUCCCAUUAAGAGGCUACUCGUGUAAGGAAUUAGGGUCUUGUAGUUACAAGCUUCUGCAGGGAAACAAAACCACUCUUUUCUUUAGAUGAAUGUUGGACAACUCUUUUUUGUUUGUUUGUUUUGAUGGAAACUUGUGAAAUAAGCAAGAUCAUCUCCACCUCCUAAAAGGAGCUCUCAGUGCUUCGUGCAGCCUCCAAGAGAUUACUUUUGUUUUUAUUUGGGGGGGGGAGGGUCAGGGAUGUGGGCCAAAGUGGGACGUUUGCGAGCUGGUGAAUCUUCUGAAAAGGACAAGUGUAGGCACUUUGUCUCCUCUCAGCAUGGCCAGCGUGGAAAGCAGUGAAGGACUAAAGGACAUCGCAGUGUCGUGGACAUUCGUGCCACUAACUGCUGUUGCUUUCACCAGCCAUAUGUACAGCUGCGUUCUUUUUAUAGUGCUGCAUAUGGCACUAUCGUAAUUGAAUUUUUCUUAAUAAUUGAUCUGACCUGUAUCAUUCUGUUCAUUUUAGGAGAGCUAAUUCAAGCAGAUUGAGAUUAGGACUAAAAAUAUGGUUUGGUUAGCGGAGGAACCAUAAAGAGCGCGACUUCACAGUAAUGAUGACACACAAUCUGUUUUACCCAGAUAGGCUCAUACUAUUUAUAUGUAGCACACUGUCAAGGCUGGUGCCUUGUCUGCCUUGCAGUAGCUGUGAUACAUGGAGUAGUGGCAGUCCUGUGCUGAAGAGCACUCUAAUUCCAUGUUUUGGGACCUUCCCACCUUAUCACUUCCUCUAGCAAGGCUGUGGGGUCCAAGAUUGCAGCUGAUGGCCCUGUCUCUGUUGUAGUAACUCUCCAACUUGCCCAUCCAUGUGAGGAAUUGAAUCUGCACUGUCCCAGCCCUGGGCAGGGGAAACGCGAGUCUCUAGCAUGGUGAGCUUAGCUUCUCACAGCAAGCUAUGGAAAUAGCAAUGAAAUUGGAAUAGGUGAGCUGGAUCCUGCCUCAUGUUUAGAAAUGAAAACCCUAGGGUAGUCUCUGAAUUGCCCUUUGCUGAAAAGGAUUUUGGCUGUUUGGUUCAGACUCCCGAAUGUAGGAACGGCGGAGGUGGGACUGCAGACAACUAAGAAAGUUAGAAACGGCCCAUACGAUUAGGAUGCUGCAAAACGAGUGGCAGCUCUUUCUCUCCCAGAGCUCUCGGCUGCAGCUGAGUAUCUGGACCAGACGUUAUUUUUGGCAAGAGGAAAAAAUACAUCUCCCUUGAUACUGUGCAAAAAAAAUGAAAGUAAAUGUUGAGACAUACACGAGGGCAAGGAUCUCCUCUGUUGUGUGGCAGCAGUGCUUUUAGAACUGAAAUCCACUUGCUUUGAUCACUGAUUAAAAAAAAUGGACAUAAAAGGGAUUUAUUGUGAAAUAAUGGAUUUGAUCCCCAGUAAUCCUUUCUUUGGGAUUAGACUUGGAAUAUUAUUUUUGUGAUCUGUGGAAUUAGACCAUGCUGGCAUGACAGACCAAAGCACGUGAGUUUAACUGCAGGAUGAGGCUGAGCUGCAAACAGAGUGAAUUACUUGCACAGAACAAAGCAGCUGAUAAAUCUACAGCUCUGUAUUUAAUGACGCAAGAUCCACAUGCAAGCAUAGAAACAGAAAAAAAAAAUCCUAAACUGAAGGCAGGAAAGACCCCUUCUUCCCAGCUGACACUGCAGAGAAACACUGUGAUCACAGAAUCAUUGAAUCAUAGAAUGGCUUGGGUUGGAAGGGACCUCAAGGAUCACCGAACUCCAACCCCUGUACCAUAGGCGAGGUUGCCAACUGCGUGAUCUCUGUGGACUGCUGGCUAGAGCUUCUGGUUUGAGUAUUUUCUGCCACAAGAACUACAAUUUAUAGCUGCUCCCAAUGGAAUGACUGAGGGACUUAGAAUGUCGGUGCAAACUCGGUGCAGGUCUUCAUGUAUGGCCACAAUACUUCCCAGUGAGAUUUGGCAAGCCCCAGGCUCGCUGCCCAAACAGUGCCUGCGUGCACAGCUCCUUGGUCUCCCAGCACACUGCUGAUUUGGCCUGAUGUGUGCUGAGAAGUCCUCCUGAGUGGUUCGUUAUGGGUAUAUUAUAACAAAAUAGGUACAAAAUGUGCUAUGAAUCCCUGGUAUGUAACUUUGAAGUCCCAAACCUUUCACAAAAAGCAACUGCAAGGAACUCCUCUCACUUCUCCUGCCAGAUUUUGACUCUGAACUCAAAGUGGGGCUGGAGAUGGCUUUUAAAACAGAGGGAGAGUUCCUUUGUGUUGUGCUCUGAAUCAGCUGAUCUUCAAAACAAAACAAAACAAAACACAAAAGCUGUGGGACAGAGAGCAAGCGAAGGAAAGGUAAAAUAUCCCCUGCCAGACCCAUUCCUGCUUUCGCUGCUGGACUCACAGCCACACUUCUGUUUGCAAAGGUCACUCCUGCAGCAGGACAUGGCCCAGGCUCCUGCCUUGCACAGCCGUGGGAGCUGCUGGGCACAUCAGUACCCCUAAGCAUAACCCAG
Molecule: long non-coding RNA, 5867 nt
Filed under: Gallus gallus (chicken)
Lineage: Eukaryota; Metazoa; Chordata; Aves; Galliformes; Phasianidae
Description: lncRNA (ENSGALG00010023446.1)
Source: RNAcentral